UUAGCAGAUUUAGUUUUUGACAUCAAUAAUCACCACUUAUUUUUCUGUCUAUUAGGAGGCAAUGCAUAUAUUUUCCCAUUACAUCCUACUGCAUGAGAAACUUCAACUCUUGCACACUAGCUUCUCCCUACAAGACUGUACGGAAUUAACUGUGUUUCUUGCCAUGAAGAUUAUCAUUCUAGUUUGGUUUCUACAUGCUGUGCUUUGGCGAUGGGUUGAUUGACUUUAAAGAAUUCGUCAUAUUGCAAUCCACCGGAGUGUCCAAAGAUGCACUUCAGAAAUUGUUUUAUGUCUGGGACGCGAUGGAUGGCAGCAAGGAUGGGUUUAUCGCUGACAAAUUUGCUUAUCCCAAAUACUACCUGCAGAGGAGAGACA
Long non-coding RNA from Pomacea canaliculata, 375 nucleotides. RefSeq lists it as uncharacterized. NCBI's taxonomy places the organism in Eukaryota, Metazoa, Mollusca, Gastropoda, Architaenioglossa, Ampullariidae. The transcript is spliced from 3 exons. The record is from RefSeq and is a predicted model, not a curated record.